Molecule: ribosomal RNA, 447 nt
Filed under: uncultured bacterium
Lineage: Bacteria
Description: bacterial SSU rRNA
Rfam family: Bacterial small subunit ribosomal RNA
Source: RNAcentral
AGCGAACGCUGGCGGCAGGCCUAAAACAUGCAAGUCGAACGCCGUAGCAAUACGGAGUGGCAGACGGGUGAGUAACACGUGGGAACGUACCCUUUGGUUCGGAACAACACAGGGAAACUUGUGCUAAUACCGGAUAAGCCCUUACGGGGAAAGAUUUAUCGCCAGAGGAUCGGCCCGCGUCUGAUUAGCUUGUUGGUGAGGUAACGGCUCACCAAGGCUACGAUCAGUAGCUGGUCUGAGAGGAUGAUCAGCCACACUGGGACUGAGACACGGCCCAGACUCCUACGGGAGGCAGCAGUUAGGAAUCUUGGACAAUGGGCGCAAGCCUGAUCCAGCCAUGCCGCGUGAGUGAUGAAGGCCUUAGGGUUGUAAAGCUCUUUCAGCGGGGAAGAUAAUGACGGUACCCGCAGAAGAAGCCCCGGCUAACUUCGUGCCAGCAGCCGCGGU